GACGUAGGGCGCGAGCGUUGUCCGGAUUUAUUGGGCGUAAAGAGCUCGUAGGCGGCUUGUCGCGUCGACUGUGAAAUCCCGCGGCUCAACUGCGGGUCUGCAGUCGAUACGGGCAGGCUAGAGUUCGGUAGGGGAGACUGGAAUUCCUGGUGUAGGCGGUGAAAUGCGCAGAUAUCAGGAGGAACACCGAUGGCGAAGGCAGGUCUCUGG
This 210-nucleotide ribosomal RNA is filed under the name uncultured bacterium. Its description in RNAcentral is "partial 16S ribosomal RNA". It matches the Rfam family "Bacterial small subunit ribosomal RNA", at positions 524 to 732 of the family's 1533-position model. The record is from RNAcentral.